Molecule: ribosomal RNA, 311 nt
Filed under: uncultured Chloroflexota bacterium
Lineage: Bacteria; Bacillati; Chloroflexota
Description: bacterial SSU rRNA
Rfam family: Bacterial small subunit ribosomal RNA
Source: RNAcentral
CAGCUCGUGCCGUGAGGUAGUUCGGGUUAAGUCCCGCAACGAGCGCAACCCUCGUCGCUAGUUGCUUUUCUAGCGAGACUGCCGAGUCUAACUCGGGAGAAGUGGGGAUGACGUCAAGUCAGCACGGCUCUACGUCCUGGGCUACACACACGCUACAAUGGUCGGUACAAUGGGCUGCCAAGCCGCGAGGCGGAGCGAAUCCCAGCAAAACCGGCCCCAGUUCAGAUUGGAGUCUGCAACUCGACUCCAUGAAGGCGGAGUUGCUAGUAACCGCAGGUCAGCACACUGCGGUGAAUACGUUCCCGGGCCUU